GUAGGGAAUAUUGGGCAAUGGAGGCAACUCUGACCCAGCCAUGUCGCGUGCAGGAUGACGGCCCUCUGGGUUGUAAACUGCUUUUAUACGGGAAGAAAAAAUACUACGUGUAGUAUACUGACGGUACCGUAAGAAUAAGGAUCGGCUAACUCCGUGCCAGCAGCCGCGGUAAUACGGAGGAUCCAAGCGUUGUCCGGAUUUAUUGGGUUUAAAGGGUGCGUAGGCGGAUCUUUAAGUCAGUGGUGAAAGCCUGCAGCUUAAAUGUAGAAUUGCCAUUGAAACUGAAGAUCUUGAAUGUGGUUAAAGUAGGCGGAAUGUAUCAUGUAGCGGUGAAAUGCUUAGAUAUGAUACAGAACACCGAUAGCGAAGGCAGCUUGCUGAACCAUUAUUGACGCUGAGGCACGAAAGCGUGGGGAGCGAACAGGAUUAGAAACCCCAGUAGUCC
RNAcentral lists this ribosomal RNA (445 nucleotides) under uncultured bacterium. RNAcentral's name for it is "partial 16S ribosomal RNA". It matches the Rfam family "Bacterial small subunit ribosomal RNA", at positions 354 to 796 of the family's 1533-position model. The record is from RNAcentral.